This 163-nucleotide ribosomal RNA is filed under the name uncultured rumen bacterium. RNAcentral's name for it is "partial 16S ribosomal RNA". It matches the Rfam family "Bacterial small subunit ribosomal RNA", at positions 340 to 500 of the family's 1533-position model. The record is from RNAcentral.
UACGGGAGGCAGCAGUUAGGAAUAUUGGUCAAUGGCCGAGAGGCUGAACCAGCCAUGCCGCGUGCGGGAGGACGGCCCUAUGGGUUGUAAACCGCUUUUUUGUGGGAGCAAUAAGGGUCACGUGUGGCCUGAUGAGAGUACCAUGAGAAUAAGCAUCGGCUAA